This 22-nucleotide non-coding RNA is filed under the name Arabidopsis thaliana (thale cress). The record is from RNAcentral. Lineage: Eukaryota; Viridiplantae; Streptophyta; Magnoliopsida; Brassicales; Brassicaceae.
CGGUCGCUGCAAAACCUAGGGC